CACGUAGUUAGCCGGCGCUUCUUCUGCAGGUACCGUCACUUUCGCUUCUUCCCUGCUGAAAGCGGUUUACAACCCGAAGGCCGUCAUCCCGCACGCGGCGUCGCUGCAUCAGGCUUUCGCCCAUUGUGCAAUAUUCCCCACUGCUGCCUCCCGUAGGAGUCUGGGCCGUGUCUCAGUCCCAGUGUGGCCGGUCACCCUCUCAGGCCGGCUACCCGUCAUCGCCUUGGUGAGCCAUUACCUCACCAACAAGCUGAUAGGCCGCGAGUCCAUCCAAAACCGAUAAAUCUUUCCACCAGCACCCCAUGCGAGGACUGGUCGUAUCCGGUAUUAGACCCAGUUUCCCGGGCUUAUCCCAGAGUUAAGGGAAGGUUACUCACGUGAUACUCACCCGUUCGCCACUAAUCCAACCGUGCAAGCACGGUCUUCAUCGUUCGACUUGCAUGUGUUAAGCACGCCGCCAGCGUUCAUCCUGAGCCAGGAUCAAACUCU
This 489-nucleotide ribosomal RNA is filed under the name uncultured Nesterenkonia sp. RNAcentral's name for it is "partial 16S ribosomal RNA". The record is from RNAcentral. Lineage: Bacteria; Bacillati; Actinomycetota; Actinomycetes; Micrococcales; Micrococcaceae.